AAGUUGUGCAGUAAAGAGUCCAGUAAUCGCCGAGGUGUGAUGUCUGGUAGUGUCAAGAGAUCCUCCAACUUGUGACUUGCUUCUCUGUGGGAGGGGACAGAAGCUUGGGCGUCUUACUGUCCUUCUAAGUGCAGCUGAGCCCAAACUGCAGGUGACGAGACCACCAGGGUGGCUGGGUGGGGUGGAGAGAGGAAACUUUAGUCACCCUGUGGAGUGACCCGUCUGAGGCAAUGCUGCCCCCCCUGCGCUGGGAACAUCCGUAUUGCCCCCUAGCUUGAGCGCCCCCACCUCACUCCAGGAUGGGUGUGUACUUGCCCACCCCUUCCCUGGAGGUUGUGUGGUGGUCACAGUUCAGCUGGCUUUUGUAAGCUCGUGAGGACCAGGCCCUGUCUUUGUCCCCAAGGAGGCUGUGUCAGUGAUCAGCUCCAGGUAUGCUUGUGAACCCAACAAAUAUGCUGGCUUAGAAGUAAAACGUGAACGCCAUGGGCCCUUGGCACUGACCUCAUCUUCCUGGAGCGUGUGGGUGGUGAACCGGCAUGAAAGGUUCGUGUGCAUCCACCCUCCGAGGAGGGGACCUUUGAUCCUGUUCUAAGUAGUUGGGAGUGCUUCCUGGAGGAAGUGACCUUUUUGAAGUUGGACACAAAUGGGGCCUAUCUUCUCACAGAAGUCUGGCGGCGGGCUGUCUCCGGGGUUGUACAUGACCUCAGCAGUGCCACCGAGGAACCUGGCUCUUCCUUGGCCUCCCCUCUCUCCUCUCAGAAGGACUCAUCACCUUACAGCUGCAGCGCCUCAGGUGGUGGCAGCACACACACCUGCUGCCGAGCAGGAGUCAUUCCAGCAAGCAGAACUCCCCCGAAGGCGCCAUUGGCCCAAAAGCGCAGUGUGGCCACCUCUAACUGUAAAUCUGGGAAAACAGCAAAGGAGAAUGGGCAGCCCAUAGAUCAGGGUGUGCCCUUGGGACUGGAUACCUACUAUUUCCAGUAAAGUCUUGUUGAUCAGAAAGUCAGAAAUUUGGGUUUCAGCCACGACAUCCUCUUUUCCCAGAUGGACUAACGCCUUUCCAUUUCCCUUCUGGCACAGGGUAGCCACAGACCCACUUGGGAGGUCAGCAGUGGUCCCAGCCCAUUCCCAUAACCCUGCUCAGAGCAAUCUUUUCAACGAUGACUUUUCCUGAGAGAGAGGUGCGUUAGGCACUAAACCAGCUAUGUUACUCAGGCCAGGCAUGGCCGUGGCAACUGGUCCAGCCCCUUCAUCCGUGAAUAGUGGAAGGGGCUCCUUGGGCAGGAAAGGCGGGCUGGAGGCACGCCAGGGUCCAGAAAGAAUGGGAGGCUAGAUGAACCACUUUUCUUCCUGCAGUUUGCUGUGAAUAACAGAGGUGAUCCCAGCACUGCCCAUCUCCCAGCCUGCAGCUCAGUGCUUGCUGCCUGUGGGCCACCCUGCACUGAGCCAGUUAGGGGUCACACCCAGGCAUUUAGACCUCAGCUUCAUCACAUGUCAAGUGAGAACCAUCGCUUUAAAACGAGGUGUAGCAAUGGAAUAUUACUCAGCCAUCAAAAAGAAUACAUUUGAAUCAGUUCUAAUG
Bos taurus (domestic cattle) is the source of this 1582-nucleotide long non-coding RNA. NCBI's taxonomy places the organism in Eukaryota, Metazoa, Chordata, Mammalia, Artiodactyla, Bovidae. The record is from Ensembl.